This 95-nucleotide transfer RNA is filed under the name Arenivirga flava. RNAcentral's name for it is "tRNA-Arg". The record is from RNAcentral. Lineage: Bacteria; Bacillati; Actinomycetota; Actinomycetes; Micrococcales; Microbacteriaceae.
CGUUGCGCAGCUCGGCGCCGGCGAGCGAGGACGCCUUCGGCGCGGCCUUGACGGGCGCCCCCGCGCUCGCGGCGUCCUGCGCUCUGCGCAGCCGC